UUGCCCCACACCCCAGCUCUGAAGGCCCAGAGACUGGUGGUUUUCACAUGGGGAAACCAAGCCCCAGGGCUCAGGGCCAGUAGUCAGCAUGUCCAAGACGAGAUGGGACGGUUCCGAGGCUUGGCAGGUCCAGACCCCAGGCCGCCUGAACAUUCUGACUGAGGUCAAAACUUUAUCAGUAACUGAAUACAAAGGCUUUCUCUUUAGAUAAAAUGCCUACGUCCCCAGCAUUCUGAGUCACAAGAAAAACAGAAGCCUUUAAAGAAAAUCAGAAAUGCCCCAUCGCAAGGGCUCAGGAGCCCCCGGAGGGACACCAGGACAGGGGAGCAUGUCCCUGGUCCCCUGAUACCGGAGGAAACUUCAUUUUGCCAUGCUAGCUUUUGUUCUACCUGAAGAGUCUCAAUAAGUAGCAGCCACUCUACCAACAGCCAGAAUAAGAAAGUAUCUGCGCAUUGCAAGUUCAACUUGGAGGCUUCGGUCAGCCCUGGAGGGGAAGUCACACCGCCCUGGAGCAAGACCACCUGAGUCAGCCGGCUCCCCAGCGUGCGUGUGGAGCCAAGAGGCCAGGGGACCCCAGAGAGCAGAGGAUCAAAGGGACCUGGGGUGGCCUGGUGUGCUGAGAGACAUGCCGAGUGUGGGACACCAGGGACGGCCCACAUCGGGUCCUUAGCAGCACUGCGACCUUGGACAACAGCUCUGUGCCUCGGUUUCCCUGUUGGCAGAUGGAAUAGGAUGUGUGGAGUAGUUACGAUAUCAAUCAAUCCCGUGUAAAACAUAGACUGUGAGAGGUCAGAGCUCCUCCCUGGGAGGUGGGACAGUCAUCAGAGC
Molecule: long non-coding RNA, 828 nt
Organism: Heterocephalus glaber (naked mole-rat)
Lineage: Eukaryota; Metazoa; Chordata; Mammalia; Rodentia; Bathyergidae
Source: Ensembl